GAUUUCAACUAAAAAAGUCAUCAACAACAAAGUUGUAUAACUCAUCAAGAUCUAUAACUUUUAUUUUUGUUAUUUCUUCAUCUGACAAAGUGUUAAUAACAUUGUUCACAAAAUUGACAUAUAUGUGUUAUAGUUUAUAAAACCAAAUGAGAGGUAUGUGAAUUUUAUGAACAAUAUUACCAUCACUUUGUCGGAUGAAGAAAUAACCAAAAUAAAAGUUAUAGAUCUUGAUGAGUUAUACAACUUUGUUGUUCAUGACUUUUUCAGUUGAAAUC
Molecule: non-coding RNA, 275 nt
Organism: Oryza nivara
Lineage: Eukaryota; Viridiplantae; Streptophyta; Magnoliopsida; Poales; Poaceae
Source: Rfam